RNAcentral lists this ribosomal RNA (200 nucleotides) under uncultured bacterium. Its description in RNAcentral is "partial 16S ribosomal RNA". It matches the Rfam family "Bacterial small subunit ribosomal RNA", at positions 29 to 230 of the family's 1533-position model. The record is from RNAcentral.
AAUGAACGCUAGCGGGAGGCCUAACACAUGCAAGCCGAGCGGUAGAAGAUCUUCGGAUCUUUGAGAGCGGCGCACGGGUGCGGAACACGUGUGCGACCUGCCUUUAUCUGGGGGAUAGCCUUUCGAAAGGAAGAUUAAUACCCCAUAAUAUAUUUGAUGGCAUCAUUAGAUAUUGAAAACUCCGGUGGAUAGAGAUGGGC